GUGGGGAAUAUUGGACAAUGGGGGGAACCCUGAUCCAGCCAUGCCGCGUGAAUGAUGAAGGUCUUAGGAUUGUAAAAUUCUUUCACCGGGGACGAUAAUGACGGUACCCGGAGAAGAAGCCCCGGCUAACUUCGUGCCAGCAGCCGCGGUAAUACGAAGGGGGCUAGCGUUGCUCGGAAUUACUGGGCGUAAAGGGCGCGUAGGCGGACAGUUUAGUCAGAGGUGAAAGCCCAGGGCUCAACCUUGGAAUUGCCUUUGAUACUGGCUGUCUUGAGUACGGGAGAGGUGAGUGGAACUCCGAGUGUAGAGGUGAAAUUCGUAGAUAUUCGGAAGAACACCAGUGGCGAAGGCGACUCACUGGCCCGUUACUGACGCUGAGGCGCGAAAGCGUGGGGAGCAAACAGGAUUAGAUACCCGGGUAGUCC
Molecule: ribosomal RNA, 425 nt
Filed under: uncultured bacterium
Lineage: Bacteria
Description: partial 16S ribosomal RNA
Rfam family: Bacterial small subunit ribosomal RNA
Source: RNAcentral